RNAcentral lists this ribosomal RNA (898 nucleotides) under Escherichia coli. RNAcentral describes it as "partial 23S ribosomal RNA". It matches the Rfam family "Bacterial large subunit ribosomal RNA", at positions 335 to 1238 of the family's 2925-position model. Lineage: Bacteria; Pseudomonadati; Pseudomonadota; Gammaproteobacteria; Enterobacterales; Enterobacteriaceae. The record is from RNAcentral.
GAAGCGUCUGGAAAGGCGCGCGAUACAGGGUGACAGCCCCGUACACAAAAAUGCACAUAUUGUGAGCUCGAUGAGUAGGGCGGGACACGUGGUAUCCUGUCUGAAUAUGGGGGGACCAUCCUCCAAGGCUAAAUACUCCUGACUGACCGAUAGUGAACCAGUACCGUGAGGGAAAGGCGAAAAGAACCCCGGCGAGGGGAGUGAAAAAGAACCUGAAACCGUGUACGUACAAGCAGUGGGAGCCUCUUAAUGGGGUGACUGCGUACCUUUUGUAUAAUGGGUCAGCGACUUAUAUUCUGUAGCAAGGUUAACCGAAUAGGGGAGCCGAAGGGAAACCGAGUCUUAACUGGGCGUUAAGUUGCAGGGUAUAGACCCGAAACCCGGUGAUCUAGCCAUGGGCAGGUUGAAGGUUGGGUAACACUAACUGGAGGACCGAACCGACUAAUGUUGAAAAAUUAGCGGAUGACUUGUGGCUGGGGGUGAAAGGCCAAUCAAACCGGGAGAUAGCUGGUUCUCCCCGAAAGCUAUUUAGGUAGCGCCUCGUGAAUUCAUCUCCGGGGGUAGAGCACUGUUUCGGCAAGGGGGUCAUCCCGACUUACCAACCCGAUGCAAACUGCGAAUACCGGAGAAUGUUAUCACGGGAGACACACGGCGGGUGCUAACGUCCGUCGUGAAGAGGGAAACAACCCAGACCGCCAGCUAAGGUCCCAAAGUCAUGGUUAAGUGGGAAACGAUGUGGGAAGGCCCAGACAGCCAGGAUGUUGGCUUAGAAGCAGCCAUCAUUUAAAGAAAGCGUAAUAGCUCACUGGUCGAGUCGGCCUGCGCGGAAGAUGUAACGGGGCUAAACCAUGCACCGAAGCUGCGGCAGCGACACUAUGUGUUGUUGGGUAGGGGAGCG